UACAGAGGAGCCAAGCGUUGUCCGGAUUGACUGGGCGUAAAGCGCACGCAGGCGGCCGCGCGCGUGGGGUGUGAAAUCUGGCCGCUUAACGGCCAGGCGCCAUCCCAUACGGCGCGUCUGGAGUGAUGCAGAGGUCGAUGGAAUUGCCGGUGUAGUGGUGAAAUGCGUAGAGAUCGGCAGGAACCCCCAGGGGGAAACCAGUCGACGGGGCAUCGGCGGAGGAUGGGUGCGAGAGCGUGGGGAGCGAACCGG
This 252-nucleotide ribosomal RNA is filed under the name uncultured bacterium. Its description in RNAcentral is "partial 16S ribosomal RNA". It matches the Rfam family "Bacterial small subunit ribosomal RNA", at positions 524 to 776 of the family's 1533-position model. The record is from RNAcentral.